AGAGAGAGAGAGGUGGGGCGUGCUUGUGGCUGGGGUUUGACACACUAUCUAUCAAAGCGAGAGUUAUCUCAAAUUUGUUCGUUUUCUAAGUGGUGAUGCACCAAGUUAGGUGUGGGGGUGAGGGCGAGGAGCGAGCACAAGUUUGAUCUCUUCCUUGCCCUCUCUCUAUUUUGUUGUCUUCUUCUCAUUUCUUAUUGAAAGGGUCAUGUGAUACAUUUUCUCCAUUUGACAUUGACCAUUUGAUAAUGCUGCUUUUAGUCUAAG
Molecule: long non-coding RNA, 264 nt
Filed under: Phoenix dactylifera (date palm)
Lineage: Eukaryota; Viridiplantae; Streptophyta; Magnoliopsida; Arecales; Arecaceae
Description: long non-coding RNA (PDAC_LNC012729)
Source: RNAcentral